RNAcentral lists this long non-coding RNA (772 nucleotides) under Ananas comosus (pineapple). Its description in RNAcentral is "long non-coding RNA (ACOM_LNC020636)". Lineage: Eukaryota; Viridiplantae; Streptophyta; Magnoliopsida; Poales; Bromeliaceae. The record is from RNAcentral.
UAUAUAUAGAGAGAGAGAGAGAGAGUCCGGCUACUAUAUAUGUUAUUAAUAGUAUGAAGCACUUGGUGCUAUUAAAUUUUUCGCCGUUAGAUCUAUCCUUUUGAUCAUUUUCAUCCGUUAGAUCAUACUAUUCAACCAACCACCCAGUCAAUCCUAAGGGGCCCACAUUAUCCUAACAACACAUCUCUUAAUUCAAUGGCAAAAAUUUGGUAGCACUAAUGACUUGGUGCUAUUAAUAGUAUAGUAGCCUAGUUCUAUAUAUAUAGAGAGAGAGAGUCCGGCUGGAGAACUAUCGAUCGCACCAAGGAUUUGGUGCUAUCGAGUUUUCCACCGUUAGAUUUAACCCUUUAAUUAUUUUUACCCGUUAGAUUAUACUAUUCAACCAAUUACUCACUCAACCCUAGGGGGCCCAUAUCAUCCUAACCACCAAUUUCUCAAUCCAAGGGCUAAAAAAUUAAUAGCACAAAUAGUUUGGUGCUAUUGAUAAUAUUCCAGCCAAGUUCUAUAUAUAUAUAGAGAGAGAGAGAUCUAGAAAGUUGUGUCAGAAUAUUAUUAAUAGUAUGUGAAUAAUAGGGUUUAUCUCUGUUUAAUCAAAAAAUAGUAUGUGAAUAGUAUUUACUAUAUAUUUACUGUUUUGACCAAUUGAAUGUCCAGAAUUUAGUGGAUAUUAGAAUAGUAAUAAUUUAAGAAUAAAAAAGUAGAUAGUAAUCAUUAUAUAUAUAUAUAUAUAUAUAUAUAUAUAUAUAUGUGUGUGUGUGUGUGUGUGUGUGUG